GUGAGAAAAUCUGCUCUUUUUCUGGAGGGUGCAUCUCUCAUCCCACACAUCUCUGUGUGACAGUGAAGGCAGUAAAAGAAAGGCACAGGAUAACUCCUUGAGCAGAGAAUCAGCAAUGGCAAAAUCAAAAUCAAUAAUUCUCUCUCUUGUCAGUCAAGACAUUUGUGGAAAAGUCCUGCCUUCUUUGUUAGACAUCUAAAACCAAAAAAACCCACAAAGCACUUACAUAAGUUCUCCUCCAGAUCUGUUCUCUAAGUCAUGAAAAUUCAAAACACACACACAAAAGUAUUUUUCUUAGCUUAGAAUCAGCCCCUGGACAUUGUUUUACUUGCAGCUAAACAGGAAACAUAUUACCAUUUUCUUCAUAAUUUAUAUCAAGCUGUACCAGCACAAACUUUUGUUUUCUAAACAGGUUUUGAUACAAGCCUAGACCUUCUAUCAGUUUCCUUUGUCUUGGGUUAUUUCUUUGCAUUAAUGUCCAUGUUGGCUCAACAUUUUAAGCAGAAAUAAAAGCAUUUAAAGUUU
Parus major (Great Tit) is the source of this 525-nucleotide long non-coding RNA. RefSeq lists it as uncharacterized. Lineage: Eukaryota; Metazoa; Chordata; Aves; Passeriformes; Paridae. The transcript is spliced from 2 exons. The record is from RefSeq and is a predicted model, not a curated record.